Molecule: ribosomal RNA, 403 nt
Filed under: Verrucomicrobiota bacterium
Lineage: Bacteria; Pseudomonadati; Verrucomicrobiota
Description: Verrucomicrobia bacterium partial 16S ribosomal RNA
Rfam family: Bacterial small subunit ribosomal RNA
Source: RNAcentral
UGGGGAAUAUUGCACAAUGGGGGAAACCCUGAUGCAGCGACGCCGCGUGAGCGAAGAAGGUUUUCGAAUCGUAAAGUUCUGUCCUAUGAGAAGAUAAUGACGGUAUCAUAGGAGGAAGCCCCGGCUAAAUACGUGCCAGCAGCCGCGGUAAUACGUAUGGGGCGAGCGUUGUCCGGAAUUAUUGGGCGUAAAGGGUACGUAGGCGGUCUAUUAAGUCAGGUGUGAAAGCGUGAGGCUUAACCUCAUUAAGCACUUGAAACUGAUAGACUUGAGUGAAGGAGAGGAAAGUGGAAUUCCUAAUGUAGCGGUGAAAUGCUUAGAUAUUAGGAGGAAUACCGGUGGCGAAGGCGACUUUCUGGACUUUUACUGACGCUCAGGUACGAAAGCGUGGGGAGCAAACAGG